Molecule: ribosomal RNA, 403 nt
Filed under: Verrucomicrobiota bacterium
Lineage: Bacteria; Pseudomonadati; Verrucomicrobiota
Description: Verrucomicrobia bacterium partial 16S ribosomal RNA
Rfam family: Bacterial small subunit ribosomal RNA
Source: RNAcentral
UGGGGAAUAUUGCACAAUGGGCGCAAGCCUGAUGCAGCAACGCCGCGUGAGCGAUGAAGGUCUUCGGAUCGUAAAGUUCUGUUGCAGGGGAAGAUAAUGACGGUACCCUGUGAGGAAGCCCCGGCUAACUACGUGCCAGCAGCCGCGGUAAUACGUAGGGGGCUAGCGUUAUCCGGAUUUACUGGGCGUAAAGGGUGCGUAGGUGGUCUUUCAAGUCGGUGGUUAAAGGCUACGGCUCAACCGUAGUUAGCCUCCGAAACUGGAAGACUUGAGUGCAGGAGAGGAAAGUGGAAUUCCCAGUGUAGCGGUGAAAUGCGUAGAUAUUGGGAGGAACACCAGUAGCGAAGGCGGCUUUCUGGAGUGCAACUGACACUGAGGCACGAAAGCGUGGGUAGCAAACAGG